This 48-nucleotide ribosomal RNA is filed under the name Karenia brevis. Its description in RNAcentral is "partial Bacterial large subunit ribosomal RNA". Lineage: Eukaryota; Dinophyceae; Gymnodiniales; Kareniaceae. The record is from RNAcentral.
AAGCGAUCCGUGAGCUGGGUUAAUAGCGUCCUGAGGCAGUUUCUACCC